Molecule: ribosomal RNA, 480 nt
Filed under: uncultured bacterium
Lineage: Bacteria
Description: partial 16S ribosomal RNA
Rfam family: Bacterial small subunit ribosomal RNA
Source: RNAcentral
GACGAACGCUGGCGGCGUGCUUAACACAUGCAAGUCGAACGAUGAAGAAAAGAAUUGAAGCUUCGGCAGAAAUUCAUUUCGGAUUAGUGGCAGACGGGUGAGUAACGCGUGAGCAACCUACCUCUUACAAAGGGAUAGCCUCGGGAAACCGGGAUUAAUACCAUAUAACAUUGCGACGAAGCAUUUCGAUGCAAUCAAAGCUACGGCGGUAAGAGAUGGGCUCGCGUCCCAUUAACCAGAUGGGGAGGUAACGGCUCACCAUAGUAACGAUGGGUAACCGGGCUGAGAGGGUGAACGGUCACACUGGAACUGAGACACGGUCCAGACUCCUACGGGAGGCAGCAGUGGGGAAUAUUGCACAAUGGAGGGAACUCUGAUGCAGCGACGCCGCGUGAGUGAUGAAGGAAUUCGUUUCGUAAAACUCUGUUCUAUGGGAAGAAAAGGACUGUACCAUAGGAGAAAGCUCCGGCUAAAUACGUG